AUGGAUUUUAUAUCAGGUCUUCCUACAUCCUUCCAAUAUGAUUGCAUACUGGUGGUGAUUGACAAGUUCUCUAAGUAUGGCCAUUUCAUUUCUCUCUCACACCCCUUCACAGCUCAGAAAGUGGCUGAAGUUUUCAUAGAUAAUGUGUAUAAGUUGCAUGGUAUGCCCAGGUUGAUAAUCUGUGAUAGGAACCCCAUUUCACUAGCUCCUUCUGGCAACUGCUUAUAUCAAGAACUGGAGCAGAACUAA
Molecule: ribosomal RNA, 249 nt
Filed under: Triticum aestivum (bread wheat)
Lineage: Eukaryota; Viridiplantae; Streptophyta; Magnoliopsida; Poales; Poaceae
Description: partial small subunit ribosomal RNA
Source: RNAcentral